RNAcentral lists this transfer RNA (77 nucleotides) under Marinomonas arctica. RNAcentral describes it as "tRNA-Val". It matches the Rfam family "tRNA". Rfam says of the family: Transfer RNA (tRNA) molecules are approximately 80 nucleotides in length. Their secondary structure includes four short double-helical elements and three loops (D, anti-codon, and T loops). Further hydrogen bonds mediate the characteristic L-shaped molecular structure. tRNAs have two regions of fundamental functional importance: the anti-codon, which is responsible for specific mRNA codon recognition, and the 3' end, to which the tRNAs corresponding amino acid is attached (by aminoacyl-tRNA synthetases). tRNAs cope with the degeneracy of the genetic code in two manners: having more than one tRNA (with a specific anti-codon) for a particular amino acid; and 'wobble' base-pairing, i.e. permitting non-standard base-pairing at the 3rd anti-codon position. RNAcentral also lists the same sequence under 6 other names. The record is from RNAcentral. Lineage: Bacteria; Pseudomonadati; Pseudomonadota; Gammaproteobacteria; Oceanospirillales; Oceanospirillaceae.
AGGACUAUAGCUCAGUUGGUUAGAGCGCUACCUUGACAUGGUAGAGGUCGGCGAUUCGAGUUCGCCUAGUCCUACCA